UUGGGUAGAUACACCUGUUCCAAAUGGAAGU
Molecule: non-coding RNA, 31 nt
Filed under: Homo sapiens (human)
Lineage: Eukaryota; Metazoa; Chordata; Mammalia; Primates; Hominidae
Source: RNAcentral